AACUAUAGAAUCUAUGCUGAUAUGACUAAAUUUUGUGUAAUUUUCAUGUCCAUUAAAUCCAAGAUAAACAAAAAAGAUUUCGAAUAACUAUAGAUAAGGAUAUAAUAAACAUAUACCUUUUAUGAAAGCUCUAGCAGGUGAGUCACAGAUAAAACAUCUGAUCUUUACUGUAACUUUCUUCUCAGAUUGUUGCACUAACGAAAUUCCGUUUUCCAAUAAAUUAUUAAGAUCGUUAAUAAAAUCUUCUAGAUAUGCAGCUAAACUCUUAGGUUUUCCUACUCCAUAGUAAAUUCCAAUCACGAAAGGUUUUAUGUCUGGAUUUUCAUAAAUGUUACAAAGAAUUGGCCAAAAUUCUUUCUUUGAGCUUUUAAAAAUUGGCAAACCAUCAAAAUUAAAAUUUAAAGAAAUACAUUUUGGAACAUCUGUCCACUUUUCCAAUAGUGUAGUUAAAUUAUUUGUAAUUCCGUUGUGCCAAUAUUCGCCAUCAUUAUUUUUUUUUAUGUUGACACAUCUUGGUGUUUUUAUAAUGGUCCUUGGAUCUGUAGGUAAUAUAUCCGGAAUUAAUUGAUUUAUAAUUUUUGCAAGAUCUUUUAACGCUAUUUGAGUAAUAUUCCUUUCAAUUGCCCAUUCUCUGAUAUUUUCACGAAAUGACGAUACUUUAACAUAUUUAUCAAUAUCAUUGUCAUCUUCACUUUCUUCAAAACUCUCAGAUCUUACAUCUGGCAUUACAUCGUGGUCAUCUAAUUCGGCAUUACAAAAGUCAUCGCUAAAUGGACCAGAAUAGGUUUGUUGAAAAUUAUAUUGAGGGCCUACGGAACCUUCUCUAAUAUCAUUAUAACUUGAAUCGUUUCGUCGUGCAUUGGUUUUGUCCUCAUGCGAAGUCAUCAUUAUUCUUGCAUAUUCUUUUGAUAUUUUUCGCCUUAUUCCUCCAGUCCUUGCUUUUAUUUUCCAUGAUUUUUUCAGCAUUUUGAAAACUAAUAUUCUUUUUUCAACAGAACUACACGUGAAGCGAUACAAUGCAAUUAUAACGUAAUUUUUUUAAUGCUAUAUUAUCACCUUUAUAGGGCUAUAUAAAAACAAAAGGCUUUACAAACACAGAAAGGUAAAUAUAUGUACAGCUUAAUGCAGUAUUAUAACACAAAUAUAUGUCAUUAAAGAGCUAUUGGUUUUACAACAAUAAUCAGUGGAACUUGAAAAAUGCGAGCAUUACAAUGAUUUCAGUUUAUGCUGUUCAGUAGCAUUAGGCUUUUAAUUAAUAUACAAAAAUGCUAUCAAACAGCCAAAGGUAAUGAAAACAGCUAAAAGCUGUACAGUGGAUUUACGGAGCAUUGUAAUGGUUCAACUUUAUGCUAUACAGCAGCAUUAGGCAUUGACUUACUAUGAAAAAAUGCUAUAAUGAAACGAAAACUUCUGAAAACUGCCCAAGGCUGUAUAAUGGAUUAACAGUGCAUUAAUAUGGUUCAACUUUAUGCUACACAACAGCAUUAGGCAUUUAUUUAUUACUUAAAAAUGCUAUUAUAGAAGUAAAGGUAUAAAAACAUGCAAAAAGCUAUACAGCGACGUUGCGUCGUGCCGCACUAAAACUAACAGAUUUAUAAAAGCAUUUUUUUAUACCAUUAACCAACCGUCAUACAGCGUAAUGUAUUAUAAUGGCUUUUAGGUGCUUAUAUAUAGCGUCAGGCUGUUUGGUGAACGUUUAUAAAAUCUUACAUAGAUCUUAAGCUCUAUAUCACUUCACGAUUGAUUUGUUAUAAUGCUAUCUGUGUUACUUGGGAUAGUUUGUCUAAUUGCCCUUCUAAUGUAAACACAGUCUCUGAAGCUAAUGGUAUGUUACGUUCCUAUAAUGAACUUACUGAAGAUCAACGUGUUACAGCUGAUAACAUUAUUUAAAAAUAUUUCUACUGAAAAGUGUGGUUUGGGUAGAACUAAUCUAGUUAUGCAUCGCAUUGACACUGGAGAUUCUUUACCUAUUAGGCAAAGAUAUUACCGCGUUUCUCCAGAGAAGCAACGUAUUUUAUCUGAAGAGCUGGAUGAAAUGCUAGUGCUAGGUGUGGUUGAAGAAUGCGAGAGCCCUUGGUCUUCUCCUGUCUUACUUAUACCUAAAAAAGAUGGCAAGCUUAGGUUCUGUCUAGAUAGCAGAAAACUAAAUUCUGUGACCAAAAAGGAUGCCUACAAGUUACCCUACAUAUCUGAAAUUCUAGACAACCUGAAAAAUGCUAAAUACCUAAGUAGUAUAGACCUAUCUAGAGCGUUUUGGCAGAUACCUAUUUCUGAAGCUGAUCGUAACAAGACUGCGUUCUACAUUCCGCAUCGUGGUACCUACAGAUUUGUCACUAUGCCAUUCGGGUUGACAAAUUCACCGGCUACACAACAAAGACUCGUUGAUACUUUGUUCUAUGGACCUGAAUUUGAAAACUCUGUAUUUGUUUACAUAGAUGAUAUCGUAGUAGCUAGUUCUGAUUUUGAAUCUCAUAUUUCUCUUCUCCUGAAAGUUCAUAAAAAAUUAAAAAUGGCUAAUUUAACUAUAAACUUUGAAAAAUCUGUUUUCUUCCGUAGUGAGCUUAAAUACCUUGGCUAUGUAGUAAACUCUAAAGGUCUUCAUGUUGAUCCUUCAAAAAUUGAGACUAUUGUUAAUUUCCCUACACCUACAAAUAAAAAAGAAGUUAAACGAUUUCUGGGUAUAGCUUCGUGGUACCGGAAGUUUGUCCCUAAUUUUAGCUCAAUUGCUGGUCCGUUAAAUAAAUUAACUUCCACUAAUAAAAAAACUAAUCCUUUUGCUUGGACUACCCAAGCCGAAGAAUCUUUUAAUAAAUUAAGAGAAUUACUAGUCUCUGCCCCUAUUCUAUCUUGCCCUAAUUUUGACCUUCCCUUUCAAGAACAUACGGAUGCUAGCGACUAUGGUGUUGGUGGUAUGCUAACCCAAACCAUAGAAGGAGUGGAUCACCCUAUUGCCUACUAUAGUAGAACUUUGACUGGACCUGAAAGGAACUAUAGCAUUACGGAGCGUGAAGCUUUGGCUGUGUUAGUAGCUUUGGAACACUGGAGAUGCUAUCUGGAUAACGGUAUGAAGUUUGUCGUCUAUACUGACCAUUCAGCUCUCAAGUGGUUUCUAAAUCUAAGCAACCCAACUGGACGGUUAGCUCGCUGGGGCGUUCGUCUAUCAGCUUUUAAUUUUGAAAUUAAACAUAGGCGUGGCGUUGAUAAUGUUAUCCCUGAUGCAUUGUCACGUUCAUGUAAAAUUUCAGCGAUACAUUCUAACAAUGUUCUACCUAACACUAAUGAUCAGUGGUACUUAAAUAUAUAUCAUGGUUGUCAAAAUUCUCCUACAUCAUUUCCUAAUUACCUAAUUAAAAACAAUCGUUUAUUCCGUUAUUCUAAAACUAAUAACCCUUUACAUAAAGAGUUCGAGUGGAAGGAAGUAAUUCCUGCUGAGUCUAGACAAGCUAUUGUACUCGAAAACCACUCGGACCCAACAGCUGGUCAUUUCGGUAUUUUUAAAACAUUUAAACGUUUAAGUCUCAGUUAUUUCUGGCCUGGUAUGCAUGCUGACGUUGUAAAAGCUGUUACUUCUUGUGAUACUUGCAUCGCGCACAAACACCAAAAUCACGCGAUUCUAGGUGAAAUGGGUAGACCUAAACAUUGUACUAGACCUUUCCAAGUUAUUAGCGUGGACCUAGUAGGACCCCUACCUCCUACUAGGAAACUUAAUACCUUUAUUCUAGUCGUCACUUGUUGUUUUAGUAAGUAUUGCUUACUAUUUCCAAUCAAGCGCGCUACCGCUGAAAUUGUUACCAGAAUACUGGAGGAACAUGUAUUCCUAAUACAUGGCAUUCCAUCCACUGUAAUAUUGGAUAAUGGUAAACAAUUUGUAAGUACCACGCUAAAACAAAUGCUAGAUAAAUAUAAAGUACCUAAGUUGCAUUUUACGCCUAAAUAUUCGCCACAUGUGAACACUGUUGAACGUUAUAAUAAAACUAUUAUGACUGCCAUUUCCACGUUCAUCUCUAACGAUCAACGUAUUUGGGAUCUCUUAGUACCUAAAAUACAAUUCGCUGUGAAUUGUUUCGUAAAUGAAGUUACUGGCUACACCCCCUCAUUUCUUGUAUACGGACGUGAACUAGUGACUUGUGGUACACAUUAUAUCGAUGCUGAUACUGACGAUGAUUUAACUUUCCAACCUCGCGAUUCCUACGCGGAGAACAUAGGCGUCCUAUCUUCUAUAUUUAAUAAAGUUCAGUCACUACUUCUACAAGCUCACAGUCGUAAUUGUCAACAUUAUAAUUUACGCCGAAAACCGGCUGAAUUUAAUGUUGGUGAUGUAGUGUGGAGAAAGACGUUUUACCUUAGUGACAAAGAUAAAUAUUUUAAUAAAAAGUUAGCACCGAAAUUUAUAAAAUGUAAAAUAAUUGGUAAAAAGUCUCCUCUUGUCUACGAGUUAGCUGAUAUGUCUGGAAAAUUACUAGGUUCCUGGCAUAUCAAAGAUAUUAAAAUAACAAAUUAUAAAACAUAAUAAAUUUAUACAAAUUAAAACAUAAUAAUUAUAAUAAGCCAAUAUAUCUAACCUAGUCUUAAUAGUAACAUCUUAUCUACUUAACUUAUGUAUUAAAUAUUGUAUUAAUUUUUACAUACAAAUUUACUAACGAGAACAAUGGAUACUAUAUAAUUGUGACUCUGUUUGUUAGGGUCUCCAGUCAUAAACUAAAAGACUUGCAGACGGUGUGAUUGUUUAUGUGUGCGUGAAGUAUGAAUGUUAGCCUGAACGUAUUAGUAAGUUUGCAGUUAGUAGUGAUAGCGGAUUUUUCUAUUCUAAGUACGAAAAAUCCUUCACUUUGCGGCGGGGUACUGUAACGUUGUACUUUGCUAGCUUUAAGAAUAGGUUAGAAAUUAAAUAAAGUAGAAAUAUUUACAAUACAAUUAUUCUAAAAUUAAUAAAACACCUAAAUUAAACUAAACUAAAUAUAAUAAAAAAUUAUAAUAUAUUAAAAUUAACAUAAUUCAUAUACGGAACCCAAUAUUAAUUAUUUACACAAAGGUCCUCGUAACUAUUGCGCCUACGCAUCUCUAAACUGGUGAACUGGUUUCGCCGCGCGCGACGGUGGUGCCUCGAGUGCAUUCGGGCCUGAGACGCAGGCAGACGACCAAAUUGCAUCAGACGUGACGGCUGUGUCACACGUUUUUUUUUACUUGACCUUCAAGUAUUGCGUACCUGCCUAAUUUCUACUUAUUUGUGCUAGACAAAUUCUAAUCGGAAAUCCCGCUGGGGAUUUUCUACGGUGGAUUUAAUUUCUACGUUGGAUUGCUACGUUGGAUAUUCUACGUUCUUGUUUAAACCCUCGCUACGCAAUCUUUCUACCUGGCGGCGAGUGAAAGACCAGACCUGAUCCUGUCUGGAACUACCUGGGUCCUGCUGGAGACCUGGCAGUGCAACCUGGCAAGGAGCUGGGCCGUCGUCGGAGCUACACCACGGUUCAGGCCAGUGUUCCCAGUGUACCUUCUACCUCAAGAUCUAUUCGUGAUUAGGGCAACAGAAGUUGGCUUAAAUAAAGUCUCAAUUUCUACCAAA
This is a long non-coding RNA of Helicoverpa armigera (cotton bollworm), 5563 nucleotides long. RefSeq lists it as uncharacterized. The transcript is spliced from 2 exons. Lineage: Eukaryota; Metazoa; Arthropoda; Insecta; Lepidoptera; Noctuidae. The record is from RefSeq and is a predicted model, not a curated record.